This 253-nucleotide ribosomal RNA is filed under the name uncultured bacterium. Its description in RNAcentral is "partial 16S ribosomal RNA". It matches the Rfam family "Bacterial small subunit ribosomal RNA", at positions 524 to 776 of the family's 1533-position model. The record is from RNAcentral.
GACGAAGGGGGCUAGCGUUGUUCGGAAUUACUGGGCGUAAAGCGCGUGUAGGCGGUUAUCCAAGUCGGGUGUGAAAGCCUUGAGCUCAACUCAAGAAGUGCAUUCGGUACUGGGUGACUAGAGGACCGGAGAGGAUAGUGGAAUUCCCAGUGUAGUGGUGAAAUACGUAGAGAUUGGGAAGAACACCAGUGGCGAAGGCGGCUAUCUGGACGGUUUCUGACGCUAAGACGCGAAAGCGUGGGGAGCAAACAGG